Molecule: transfer RNA, 75 nt
Filed under: Actinomycetota bacterium
Lineage: Bacteria; Bacillati; Actinomycetota
Description: tRNA-Ala
Rfam family: tRNA
About the family: Transfer RNA (tRNA) molecules are approximately 80 nucleotides in length.
Source: RNAcentral
GGAGGGGAUUAACUCGGUUGGGAGAGCGCCUGCCUUGCACGCAGGGGGUCAUCGGUUCGAGCCCGUUAUCCUCCG